GACGAACGCUGGCGGCGUGCUUAACACAUGCAAGUCGAACGGUAAGGCCCUUCGGGGUACACGAGUGGCGAACGGGUGAGUAACACGUGGGUGAUCUGCCCUGCACUUCGGGAUAAGCCUGGGAAACUGGGUCUAAUACCGGAUAGGACUCCGGACUGCAUGGUCUGGGGUGGAAAGCUUUUGCGGUGCGGGAUGGGCCCGCGGCCUAUCAGCUUGUUGGUGGGGUGAUGGCCUACCAAGGGGACGACGGGUAGCCGGCCUGAGAGGGUGACCGGCCACACUGGGACUGAGAUACGGCCCAGACUCCUACGGGAGGCAGCAGUGGGGAAUAUUGCACAAUGGGCGCAAGCCUGAUGCAGCGACGCCGCGUGAGGGAUGACGGCCUUCGGGUUGUAAACCUCUUUCAGCAUCGACGAAGCGAAAGUGACGGUAGGUGCAGAAGAAGGACCGGCCAACUACGUGCCAGCCGCCGCAGUAA
This 478-nucleotide ribosomal RNA is filed under the name uncultured bacterium. Its description in RNAcentral is "partial 16S ribosomal RNA". It matches the Rfam family "Bacterial small subunit ribosomal RNA", at positions 28 to 523 of the family's 1533-position model. The record is from RNAcentral.